GUAGGGAAUAUUGCACAAUGGAGAAAACUCUGAUGCAGCGACGCCGCGUGAGUGAUGAAGGCCUUCGGGUCGUAAAGCUCUGUCGCAGGGGAAUAACACAAUGAAGGUACCCUGUAAGAAAGGAUCGGCUAACUUCGUGCCAGCAGCCGCGGUAAGACGAGGGAUCCUAGCGUUGUUCGGAAUCAUUGGGCGUAAAGCGGAUGUAGGUGGCUAUGUAAGUCAGAUGUGAAAGCCUGGGGCUCAACCCCAGAAGUGCAUUUGAUACUGCGUAGCUUGAGUGUCGGAGAGGUUACUAGAAUUGUUGGUGUAGUGGUGAAAUACGUAGAUAUCAACAGGAAUACCGGAGGCGAAGGCGGGUAACUGGCCGAACACUGACACUGAGAUCCGAAAGCGUGGGGAUCAAACAGGAUUAGAUACCCGUGUAGUCC
RNAcentral lists this ribosomal RNA (428 nucleotides) under uncultured bacterium. RNAcentral's name for it is "bacterial SSU rRNA". It matches the Rfam family "Bacterial small subunit ribosomal RNA", at positions 354 to 796 of the family's 1533-position model. The record is from RNAcentral.